This 74-nucleotide transfer RNA is filed under the name bacterium. Its description in RNAcentral is "tRNA-Asp". It matches the Rfam family "tRNA". Rfam says of the family: Transfer RNA (tRNA) molecules are approximately 80 nucleotides in length. The record is from RNAcentral.
GCGGGUGUAGCUCAGUUGGUUAGAGCGUCCCCCUGUCACGGGGAAGGUCGCCGGUUCGAGUCCGGUCACUCGCG